Molecule: unclassified non-coding RNA, 240 nt
Filed under: soil metagenome
Description: partial contains 5.8S ribosomal RNA, internal transcribed spacer 2, and large subunit ribosomal RNA
Source: RNAcentral
AACCAUAGAAACCUGCGGAGUACCUGCGGAAGGAUCAUUACCGAGUGCGGGUCCGCGUGGCCCAACCUCCCACCCGUGCCUAUUGUACCCUGUUGCUUCGGCGGGCCCGCCAGCCUUCGGGCUGGCCGCCGGGGGGCGUCUCGCCCCCGGGCCCGUGCCCGCCGGAGACCCCAACAUGAACCCUGUUCUGAUAGCUUGGUGUCUGAGUGUGAUUGUUUGCAAUCAGUUAAAACUUUCAAC